UACGUACUGUGCGAACGUUAUUCGGAAUCACUGGGCUUAAAGGGCGCGUAGGCGGAAUGGCAAGUCGGUCGUGAAAUCCUUCGGCUCAACCGAAGAACGUCGAUCGAAACUGCCGUUCUUGAGGAUUGCAGAGGAGACUGGAAUUCCCGGUGUAGCGGUGAAAUGUGUAGAGAUCGGGAGGAACACCGGUGGCGAAGGCGGGUCUCUGGGCAAUUCCUGACGCUGAGGCGCGAAAGCGUGGGGAGCAAACGGG
RNAcentral lists this ribosomal RNA (253 nucleotides) under uncultured bacterium. Its description in RNAcentral is "partial 16S ribosomal RNA". It matches the Rfam family "Bacterial small subunit ribosomal RNA", at positions 524 to 776 of the family's 1533-position model. The record is from RNAcentral.